RNAcentral lists this non-coding RNA (31 nucleotides) under Mus musculus (house mouse). The record is from RNAcentral. Lineage: Eukaryota; Metazoa; Chordata; Mammalia; Rodentia; Muridae.
UAACCAAGACGGACUUCACGAUAGUGGCUCU